This is a small nuclear RNA of Bos grunniens (domestic yak), 108 nucleotides long. The record is from Ensembl. NCBI's taxonomy places the organism in Eukaryota, Metazoa, Chordata, Mammalia, Artiodactyla, Bovidae.
GUGCUCGCCUUGGGGAGCACAUGCACUAAAAUUGGACGGAUCCAGAGAAGAUCAGCAUGGCCCCUGAGCAAGGGUGACACACAAAUUCAUGCAGUGCUCUGGAUUUAA